RNAcentral lists this ribosomal RNA (497 nucleotides) under uncultured bacterium. RNAcentral's name for it is "partial 16S ribosomal RNA". It matches the Rfam family "Bacterial small subunit ribosomal RNA", at positions 28 to 507 of the family's 1533-position model. The record is from RNAcentral.
GAUGAACGCUGGCGGCGUGCCUAAUACAUGCAAGUCGAGCGAACAGACGAGGAGCUUGUUCCUCUGACGUUAGCGGCGGCCGAGUGAUUAACAACUGGUUAACCACCUGCUAACACUGGGAUAAUAUCGGGAUGCCGGAGUUACUACUACAUAAUAUUCUGAAUCUCUCGCUUCAUUAGUCUAAGACGGAUUUGCUGUCGCUUAUGGAUGGAUCCGCGCCGCAUUAGCUAGUUGGUAAGGUAAUGGCGUACCAAGGCAACGAUGCGUAGCCGACCUGAGAGGGUGAUGGACCACACUGGAACUGAGACGCGGUCCAGACGCCUACGGGAGGCGGCAGUAGGGAAUAAUACUCCAUGGGCGAAAGAAGGAUGGUGCAGCGCCGCGUGAGGGAUGAAGGUCUUCGGAGCGUAAAACUCUGUUAUUAGGGAAGAACAAAUGUGUAAGUGAUUAUGCACGUCUUGACGGUACCUAGAUAGAAAGCCACGGCUAACUACGUG